UUAAAACUGUUGCUGCAAAAUCACUUCUCAAUGUGUGUACAUGUCAAGCGUUCAACAACAAUAAACCAACCAGCUCAAUAAUGUUUCUCAGACUUACACACUGUUGAGUUUUUCUAGUUAGUAAAGAAACAACCACUAAGCCAAAACACAAAAAAAGUUGUAAUAUAAUAUGUAUACAAGUCAUUCUAUACGGAAAACAGGUACAUUUUGAUUGAUCAAGAAUUCCCAAUAGGUUUGUGUCACGCCCGGACCAUAGUUUGCUAUGUAUGUUUAUAGGUUUUGUUGGGUAUGGUGGGGUGAUCUGAGUGGGCAUUCUAUGCUGUAUGUCUAGUUUGUCUUUUUCUGUGUCUGGCCUGAUUGAUUGAAAACCCUGAGGCCGGUGUUAGUCGUUGUCUCUGAUUGGGAACCAUAUUUAGUAGGUAGCCUUUGUUGUCAUUGUUGGGUGAUUGUCUGUUAGGUGCUUGUGUCAGCACAUUUGGUAUAUAGCGUCACGGUAGUUGUUCAUUUAGUGGCUUGUUCACUUUACUUUGUGUUUGCGUCAUCCAUUAAAACGAUGCAUUCACACCACGCAGCGCUUUGGUCCGCUUCUUAUUACCCAUGAAGAUCGUGACAGCUUGAUCUGAUCCUCAACCCUAUUACGACAGCAUAUAAUGCACAGUCAUAUGCAAAACCAUAACUCUGACAAGAAAACAAUGAAAACCGUAACACGACUACACGCAUUGCCAUUAUUUUAGUUAACAGCCACCCAUGGGUGAAUUUGGUACUUUUUCUUUGUACAUGCACCAAGCCUCCAAGGGGGGUGACAACCGUAUUCCUAAUGAGAAAUAUAGUCUAAUAAAACAAAUGUCUGCAUAAUGAAAGACAUGAAAACUCUAGCCAACAAUGUAUUUUGAGCUGUUUUAAACGGGGAUAUUGUCAGUAAGGUCACUGAGACUAACAUAGACAAUAGUUAUUGUGGGAGGUUUAGGGUUAAAAUAUAUGGGAAGGAUCAGGAAUGUUAGAGAUUUGGUCACUGGGGCGAUUUUGAAAGAGGGAGAUUAGAACCACAAAGUAAUAGGGGGUAAGAGAUCCUAAAGGUAAUUUCAUAUUUCGGUUUAGGUGUUAUUAACUUUAUGGAAAACAAUAUUCCCACUAUGUGGAUUAUAAACAUGUACAUACAUAGAGAGCCAACACAUCAAUAUAUAACAGGGAUGAGUGGGGAUUCAUAGUACAACAGGAGGCUUCGGUAACCUGCAAUACGUGUUAAAUAUGUUUUACAUACAUCCACUACUGAAUGGUUUCACAAACGACCUUUAAAGGUUUUGUAAGAAAGUUGUAACAGGCCUCAUUCAUUCACCAGUCUAGAGAGGAACCCAGAGACACCAAAAACAUCAACGUUUAGAGCAGCUUGGAGAUUAUUAGCCAUGUAAGGGGGGAGCAAAGAUGACAACCGUAUACCUAAUGAGAAAUAUAGUCUAAUAAAACAAAUGUCUGCAUAAUGAAAGACAUGAAAACUGUAGCCAACAAUGUAUUUUGAGCUGUUUUAAACGGGGAUAUUGUCAGUAAGGUCACUGAGACUAACAAUAGACAAUAGUUAUUGUGGGCGGUUUAGGGUUAAAAUAUAUGGGAAGGAUCAGGAAUGUUAGAGAUUUAGUCCCUAAUGCAUCCAAGUCACCCGUUGUGUCCGUUGUCCAUCAUACCUAAAAAAUAAUAAUAAAAAAUAAAAAUAAAACGUUGUCCCCCCCUGUUUAAAACACAAAUAACUCGGGUACAGUCGCUUCCCAAUCACCUAUGUCCAGUAGCCUUCAGAAAUAUCUAUUAGGCUGGAUUCACUUAUUCACAUCUCUUUUUUAAUCUGUCCUGGCAGCUAAAUAUUCGGGGCUGUGGGUUUGCGCUAAAGCUGUGGUAACUGUAUUAAAGUAUAUGCUCCACGUUCUGUCCCUAACUAGGGGGGUGUUUCGAGACAUUUUUUGUUUUAUAAUGGUUACAUGUUCAUUACACACCUAUGCAUUCUAUAUUAUUAAGUAGGCUGUUGGUCUUUUGAGGUCCGUUAUGUCAAUUUGCCUUUAUACAUCUCAUUGACCUACUGUCAACUCCCUCAGUUGUAAACAUCUACAAUAAUCAUUAGACGUACGCGUCAGAGUUAUCAUACCCCUUGUCGGGGUUUGUACAGAGUUGGUUAAAUCCGCUCUUUUGCUCCCCACUUACAUGGCUAAUAAUCUCCAAGCUGCUCUAAGCGGUGUUGUUUGAGUGAAUAUUGUUUUACAUAAAGUUAAUAACCCCCCUAAACCGAUAUAUGAAAUGACCUCUGCCCCUAUCUAUAAAGCGUGAGAUACAUUUUUAAAACCAGUGAUUUAAUUCAAAAGAUUUAGUACCUACAUUUUAACACAUUCCAAAAUGUUUACUAUUUCUUACAGAUAAAGGGUCCUGUUAGCCCCGACCUGUAACUGACAGUUAGACUUACAGGUUAUGUCGUUGUCUUUUGUUUGAAUUGUUUAUGUGUCCGCUGUGCGGGGGAAAUGAUAAUACAAGCGGAACUAUGUAGCUAAUACUGUUGUAACGGGGAUCCUUAUUGUAGCAACACACUUUUGGAGGGAAGGCAAUCAAUCCUGCGCUGCGUUAACUAAGUUUUCAUGUCAUCGGGUGUAGUUCAUAAAGGUUGAAGAGUGUAUGUUAGGAUGAAGUGUGAAUUCAUGCCAGGAAUAAUAAAUGUGAAGUUUGAUUUCCUCCCUUCUGUAAUAAGCAGCCAAUGAGUUCUCACGGAAGGGGAUAAUUCUCACUGAAACUACAGAAUAAAGCCGCCAGUUAAAAUCAAGGAACGGUUGUGCUCGUGGUUACUGAAGGGGGCUACAAGACCAUUAUCCGUUUCGAAUUCACCAACUCAAAGACGCUUGCCCGCUCCAUCAUAACUCCGUAAGUUUUCCCUCCCUGUGUAGAUCAAACGUCCUGCCUGUAAAUCCUGGGUAUGCCCACAUCAUUAAUGAAUAAGAUGUGUAGAAAACUGUUUAGCCAUAAUUAAAGGCCUUUCAUAAAGAGGCUGUCCUGAUUGCAUGUGCCACAUGUUUAACACGUAUUGCUUGUUACAGAAUACUACUGUUGUACAUCUAAUAUCCCCUAGCAGAUUUCGUUGCCUUUGCACAAAUUCUGUCAUGUUACUGUGGUCUUUUUAAAAGUCAAUAAAUAUGUGUGGAAAGUGUA
This is a long non-coding RNA of Oncorhynchus keta (chum salmon), 3177 nucleotides long. RefSeq lists it as uncharacterized. The record is from RefSeq and is a predicted model, not a curated record. The transcript is spliced from 2 exons. Lineage: Eukaryota; Metazoa; Chordata; Actinopteri; Salmoniformes; Salmonidae.